Molecule: ribosomal RNA, 530 nt
Filed under: uncultured bacterium
Lineage: Bacteria
Description: partial 16S ribosomal RNA
Rfam family: Bacterial small subunit ribosomal RNA
Source: RNAcentral
UGGGGAAUAUUGCACAAUGGGCGCAAGCCUGAUGCAGCAACGCCGCGUGAGGGACGACGGCCUUCGGGUUGUAAACCUCUUUUAGUAGGGAAGAAGCGAAAGUGACGGUACCUGCAGAAAAAGCACCGGCUAACUACGUGCCAGCAGCCGCGGUAAUACGUAGGGUGCGAGCGUUGUCCGGAAUUAUUGGGCGUAAAGAGCUCGCAGGCGGUCUGUCGCGUCUGCUGUGAAAACCCGAGGCUCAACCUCGGGCCUGCAGUGGGUACGGGCAGACUAGAGUGCGGUAGGGGAGAAUGGAAUUCCUGGUGUAGCGGUGGAAUGCGCAGAUAUCAGGAGGAACACCGAUGGCGAAGGCAGUUCUCUGGGCCGUAACUGACGCUGAGGAGCGAAAGCGUGGGGAGCGAACAGGAUUAGAUACCCUGGUAGUCCACGCCGUAAACGUUGGGCGCUAGAUGUGGGGACCAUUCCACGGUUUCCGUGUCGCAGCUAACGCAUUAAGCGCCCCGCCUGGGGAGUACGGCCGCAAGGCU